This 322-nucleotide small RNA is filed under the name Pongo abelii (Sumatran orangutan). RNAcentral's name for it is "processed transcript". The record is from RNAcentral. Lineage: Eukaryota; Metazoa; Chordata; Mammalia; Primates; Hominidae.
AAGUGGCACAGGCCAGUAGUCCUUCCCCGGAGUGAGCCUCACAGCUGGUCCCUGCUAGAGCAGCUGGGCCUGGCCGGGGCAGACCUGGCGGCCCCCGGGGUACAGCAGCAGCUGGAGCUGGAGCGGGAACGGCUGCGGCGGGAAAUCCGCAAGGAGCUGAAGCUGAAGGAGGGUGCUGAGAACCUGCGGCGGGCCACCACUGACCUGGGCCGCAGCCUGGGCCCCGUGGAGCUGCUGCUGCGGGGCUCCUCGCGCCGCCUCGACCUGCUGCACCAGCAGCUGCAGGAGCUGCACGCCCAUGUGGUGCUUCCCGACCCGGCGG